RNAcentral lists this ribosomal RNA (156 nucleotides) under Triticum aestivum (bread wheat). RNAcentral describes it as "rRNA 5_8S_rRNA". It matches the Rfam family "5.8S ribosomal RNA". From Rfam's summary of the family: 5.8S ribosomal RNA (5.8S rRNA) is a component of the large subunit of the eukaryotic ribosome. The record is from RNAcentral. Lineage: Eukaryota; Viridiplantae; Streptophyta; Magnoliopsida; Poales; Poaceae.
GACUCUCGGCAACGGAUAUCUCGGCUCUCGCAUCGAUGAAGAACAUAGCGAAAUGCGAUACCUGGUGUGAAUUGCAGAAUCCCGCGAACCAUCGAGGCUUUGAACGCAAGUUGCACCCGAGGCCACUCGGCCGAGGGCACGCCUGCCUGGGCGUCA